UGAAGGGCUGCAUUUAUUUGAUGUUAGGACCAAUACCUUUCGGGGUGAUUCGGGUGAUUCAGAGUAACUAUGCGAACCGCAGUGGCUUUUGGUCGGCGGUGACUUUAUGAGGUUCUGCCCUAUCAGGCUUUGCAACGGGUAUUGUCCUUUGCAACCGGUCACGGGUGACGGAGAAUCAGGGUUCGAUUCCGGAGAGGGAGC
This 201-nucleotide ribosomal RNA is filed under the name Mantoniella antarctica. Its description in RNAcentral is "partial Eukaryotic small subunit ribosomal RNA". It matches the Rfam family "Eukaryotic small subunit ribosomal RNA", at positions 194 to 395 of the family's 1831-position model. The record is from RNAcentral. Lineage: Eukaryota; Viridiplantae; Chlorophyta; Mamiellophyceae; Mamiellales; Mamiellaceae.